RNAcentral lists this transfer RNA (77 nucleotides) under Chloroflexota bacterium. Its description in RNAcentral is "tRNA-Val". It matches the Rfam family "tRNA". From Rfam's summary of the family: Transfer RNA (tRNA) molecules are approximately 80 nucleotides in length. Lineage: Bacteria; Bacillati; Chloroflexota. RNAcentral also lists the same sequence under 2 other names. The record is from RNAcentral.
GGGCGGUUAGCUCAGUUGGUUAGAGCGCUUGCUUCACACGCAAGAGGUCACUGGUUCAAGUCCAGUAUCGCCCACCA